UACGUAGGGGGCGAGCGUUGUCCGGAUUUACUGGGCGUAAAGGGUGAGUAGGCGGUUAUAUAUGUCAGGUGUAAAAGGCUAUGGCUUAACCAUGGUUAGCACUUGAAACUGUAUGACUUGAGUGCAGGAGAGGUAAGUGGAAUUCCUAGUGUAGCGGUGAAAUGCGUAGAUAUUAGGAGGAACACCAGUGGCGAAGGCGACUUACUGGACUGUAACUGACGCUGAGUCACGAAAGCGUGGGUAGCAAACAGGAUUAGAUACCCUGGUAGU
RNAcentral lists this ribosomal RNA (270 nucleotides) under uncultured prokaryote. Its description in RNAcentral is "partial 16S ribosomal RNA". It matches the Rfam family "Bacterial small subunit ribosomal RNA", at positions 524 to 794 of the family's 1533-position model. The record is from RNAcentral.